ACUUUUGCAGUACCUCGCAAUACUUUGCGUCUCGCAAUAUGUUUUGAAUUCCCUCACAAUACUUUUGCGUUACCUAGCAAUACCUAUCUUCUUCCGUUACUUCUGAGCCAUAGCUGUCAUUUUGGCUCAGGCAGCUGCUCCCAGCUCCUUUUAGGUGCCCUGACGUGAAGUUACAUGAGCUGUGUACGGACAGGUGGUCCAUUUCAGACAUGAAGGAGGACCUUGAGGACUUCCUUAAGUCAAGGAAUGUUGCAGAAGAAGAUAUAAACUGAAUGAAAAUGGACAAGCAUCCCAAAAAACUCAGACGACCUGAUAAACAGAUCCAACUUUGGAUUCCCGCACUGCCACCCCAAGCAGCAGAACACUCAAGUCCAGUGCAACACUCGAUAGCAGAUGAUGUUGCAUCGUUGAGUCCAGUUCAGCAUGUCACACCCAUGUGCAACACAGGGAGUUAUUAUGACAAACUUCAACAGAGAUUUGGCUGAAGAUGGUGUUGAUGACCUUCCUACAACUCUUCUAUGGACAGAAGACCAUUCUGAUGAGACUGGUGCACAACCCCCAGAAGUAUAUGUGGUAAUACAUUUUUGGUUAUAUUUAAAGUCUAACCUUAUUUGUAGCAUCAUAUAGUUUCAUGUUUUUGUUUUGUUUGUUUUCAUUCCCAUUUUAUAUUCAUGUAAUAUUUCCGCAAAGCCACCAAAUAAGCUCUCAUGUUACAUAUGUCCAUAUUCAUAUUUCUUUGCUGGACUUUGACAUGACAUAUCUUGAUAUACACAGAUCCAAACAUUGACACAAUGAAUGUUUGUAUACUUGACAUUGGUAUAAUCCUACAGUAUUCAAAAACAAACACAUUAAAACAGUCCCUGACAGUAUUGGUCAA
Long non-coding RNA from Micropterus dolomieu (smallmouth bass), 877 nucleotides. RefSeq lists it as uncharacterized. NCBI's taxonomy places the organism in Eukaryota, Metazoa, Chordata, Actinopteri, Centrarchiformes, Centrarchidae. The transcript has 3 exons. The record is from RefSeq and is a predicted model, not a curated record.